RNAcentral lists this long non-coding RNA (975 nucleotides) under Marmota monax (woodchuck). Lineage: Eukaryota; Metazoa; Chordata; Mammalia; Rodentia; Sciuridae. The record is from RNAcentral.
CUGGCCAGCAUUGGGAGCUGCCCGAAGCUGCCGGGUGUUCUGAUGGGUGUGGGGCGGCUCUUCGUGGCUUGACUUGCACCCCCUGGUGGCCACCUGUGAUUUGCAUCUCUCCAGGUGUGUGGUUCUGUCACCUGCCGGUCUCAGCUGGGCAGUCCCUUGCUCUGCCCAUUGGCCUUGGCCUUGCAGGAGUGGGGAGACACUGGCAAGUCAGAGCAUCACCUAUGAGAAUGACAGCCCUCCCCGUCUGUGUCCCCACUCCCAUCUGGGCUCAGUGGUUCUCCAAAAAGUGCACCUCCCAUUUCUUCUGCCACCAGAAAACCACUUUACAGAAUGUCUGCAAGGCAGGUCUGUUGGAGAGAAGGUGCCUGCAGAAGUGGUCUGUCUCUAGGCUGGGGCGUCCCCCUCCCCUGGACCUGAGGGAGAAGCCAGAAGAAGUAUGGUCAGGACGGGGCAGUGUGGCCAGAGAAAGUGUGGCAGGGAAGGAGGCUUGGCCAAAGGCCCAUGCACCUGGACAGGGUGCUGGGUGGUCAGCGCUGAAGCUAGCUGGCUGCAUCUUACCAGGCCACGCGGGGCUGCCCCUCAGCCAGAUGCCGUCUAGCACGUGGGAGUCCUGAUAAUUGGCAGUGUGGGGCGGUUACCCUCAUGGCGGGGUAAUUGGACCCUGGAGUCCCCACAUCUGUGCAUGAGGGAAGGAAGCCAACAGCCUUCCUCCCCAAUGCCUCCUUAAGCAGCCAUCGCUCAGAGUAGGGCCAGCUGCUCUCAGGCCUGGCCGGCCAGUCAGGGAGUCAGUGGGCAGGGAGAAGUCACCUUACGGCUGUGCCGCUGGAGGACGGCCACAGAGACUCCUGCUGCUCUCCAAGGUAGGUGCCACAGGGUCUCUCCCUCUCAGUGAAGUGACCGCCGGCCCCUGGCCCAAUGGCACCAUGCCCCACCCCAUGCCCUGCCCCUGCCGUGCUCCACACGCUCCCUCUGCAC